AACGCGAAGAACCUUACAGAUACCCUGGUAUUCCACGUCGUAAACGAUGUCUACUUGGAGGUUGUGCCCUUGAGGCGUGGCUUCCGGAGCUAAAGCGUUAAGUCGACCUCCUGGGGAGUACGACCUCAAGGUUAAAACUCAAAUGAAUUGACGGGGGCAGCACAAGCGGUGGAGCAUGAGUUUAAUUCGAUGCAACGCGAAGAACCUUACCUGGUCUUGACAUCCACGGUAGAAUCCAGAGAUGGAUUUGUGCCUUCGGGAGCCGUGAGACAGGUGCUGCAUGGCUGUCGUCAGCUCGUGUUGUGAAAUGUUGGGUUAAGUCUCGCAACGAGCGCAACCCUUAUCCUUUGUUGCCAGCGGUCCGGUCGGGAACUCAAAUGAGACUGCCAGUGAUAAACUGGAGGAAGGUGGGGAUGAGGGUCUUGUACACACCG
RNAcentral lists this ribosomal RNA (434 nucleotides) under uncultured Salmonella sp. Its description in RNAcentral is "bacterial SSU rRNA". It matches the Rfam family "Bacterial small subunit ribosomal RNA", at positions 755 to 1198 of the family's 1533-position model. The record is from RNAcentral. Lineage: Bacteria; Pseudomonadati; Pseudomonadota; Gammaproteobacteria; Enterobacterales; Enterobacteriaceae.